GGUGGGGGGGCGGGCUAUACAUGCAAGUCGAGCGAACUUUUGGGAGCUUGCUCCCAAAAGUUAGCGGCGGACGGGUGAGUAACACGUGGGCAACCUGCCUAUAAGACUGGGAUAACUUCGGGAAACCGGAGCUAAUACCGGAUAACAUAUGAGACCACAUGGUCUCAUAUUGAAAGAUGGCUUUUAGCUAUCACUUAUAGAUGGGCCCGCGGCGCAUUAGCUAGUUGGUGAGGUAAUGGCUCACCAAGGCAACGAUGCGUAGCCGACCUGAGAGGGUGAUCGGCCACACUGGGACUGAGACACGGCCCAGACUCCUACGGGAGGCAGCAGUAGGGAAUCUUCCGCAAUGGACGAAAGUCUGACGGAGCAACGCCGCGUGAGCGAAGAAGGUCUUCGGAUCGUAAAGCUCUGUUGUUAGGGAAGAACAAGUACCGUUCGAAUAGGGCGGUACCUUGACGGUACCUAACCAGAAAGCCACGGCUAACUACGUGCCAGCAGCCGCGGUAAUACGUAGGUGGCAAGCGUUAUCCGGAAUUAUUGGGCGUAAAGCGCGCGCAGGCGGUCCUUUAAGUCUGAUGUGAAAGCCCACGGCUCAACCGUGGAGGGUCAUUGGAAACUGGGGGACUUGAGUGCAGAAGAGGAGAGCGGAAUUCCACGUGUAGCGGUGAAAUGCGUAGAGAUGUGGAGGAACACCAGUGGCGAAGGCGGCUCUCUGGUCUGUAACUGACGCUGAGGCGCGAAAGCGUGGGGAGCGAACAGGAUUAGAUACCCUGGUAGUCCACGCCGUAAACGAUGAGUGCUAAGUGUUAGAGGGUUUCCGCCCUUUAGUGCUGCAGCAAACGCAUUAAGCACUCCGCCUGGGAGUACGGUCGCAAGACUGAAACUCAAAGGAAUUGACGGGGGCCCGCACAAGCGGUGGAGCAUGUGGUUUAAUUUCGAAGCAACGCGAAGAACCUUACCAGUCUUGACAUCCCUGUAUGACCAUCUCUCUAGAAAGAAUAAGGAGCUUUCCCCUUUCGGGGACAUACAGUGACAGUGAUGCAUGAUUGUCGUCAGCUCGUGUCGUGGAGAAUGUUGGUUAAGUUCCCGCACGAGCGCAUCCAUGAUCUAGCUGCAGCAUUCAGCUGGGUCACCUCCUAAGGGUGAACUGGC
Molecule: ribosomal RNA, 1152 nt
Filed under: Ferdinandcohnia humi
Lineage: Bacteria; Bacillati; Bacillota; Bacilli; Caryophanales; Bacillaceae
Description: bacterial SSU rRNA
Rfam family: Bacterial small subunit ribosomal RNA
Source: RNAcentral